Molecule: ribosomal RNA, 506 nt
Filed under: uncultured bacterium
Lineage: Bacteria
Description: partial 16S ribosomal RNA
Rfam family: Bacterial small subunit ribosomal RNA
Source: RNAcentral
GAUGAACGCUAGCUACAGGCUUAACACAUGCAAGUCGAGGGGUAACAAGAGAAAAGCUUGCUUUUCUUGUUGACGACCGGCGCACGGGUGAGUAACGCGUAUCCAACCUGCCUAUAACUAGGGAAUAACCUUGCGAAAGUAAGACUAAUACCCUAUGAUUUCCUUUGAUGACAUCAGAUUAGGAAUAAAGCUUUAUCGGUGCUAGAUGGGGAUGCGUCUGAUUAGCUUGUUGGCGGGGUAACGGCCCACCAAGGCAACGAUCAGUAGGGGUUCUGAGAGGAAGGUCCCCCACAUUGGAACUGAGACACGGUCCAAACCCCUACGGGAGGGAGCAGUGAGGAAUAUAGGUCAAGGGGCGGAAGCCUGAACCAGCCAAGUAGCGUGCAGGAUGACGGCCCUAUGGGCUGUAAACUGCUUUUAUACAGGAAUAAAGUUAGCCACGUGUGGUUAUUUGUAGGUACUGUAUGAAUAAGGACCGGCUAAUUCCGUGCCAGCCGCCGCCGUAA